AGAUUGAACGCUGGCGGCAUGCCUUACACAUGCAAGUCGAACGGCAGCACGGGAGCAAUCCUGGUGGCGAGUGGCGAACGGGUGAGUAAUACAUCGGAACGUGCCCAAUCGUGGGGGAUAACGCAGCGAAAGCUGUGCUAAUACCGCAUAAGAUCUACGGAUGAAAGCAGGGGAUCGCAAGACCUUGCGCGAAUGGAGCGGCCGAUGGCAGAUUAGGUAGUUGGUGAGGUAAAGGCUCACCAAGCCUUCGAUCUGUAGCUGGUCUGAGAGGACGACCAGCCACACUGGGACUGAGACACGGCCCAGACUCCGUACGGGAGCAGCAGUGGGGAAUUUGGACAAU
This 343-nucleotide ribosomal RNA is filed under the name uncultured soil bacterium. Its description in RNAcentral is "bacterial SSU rRNA". It matches the Rfam family "Bacterial small subunit ribosomal RNA", at positions 26 to 372 of the family's 1533-position model. The record is from RNAcentral.